UUUAGUACUGCCAUAACACGCUUUCAACGCCACUUGGUUUCCAGAGAUAGAAAUUCUGACAAAUGCGUAUAUAAAUGCGGAUAGAUUUAAUACUUACAUUGGACAUUUGUUUUUAUACCUAACUAAAGUGCUAUUUACGCCGACACACGUAUAUUUACCGCUGGAAUAUUGCUUAAUAUGGAAGUAAAAAUGGGACUAUAUUUAGUGGCCGUCUGGUUCCUGAUACUUGGAGUUGCCAUUCUAUUCGUCAGUGCAGAAAAGGAUGCCAAUCAUCAUGACGAAACGAUGGAAGAGUUUUUUGAUCUGGACGAAAUAUUUGGAUAUCACGUUUCAGACUCUAAAGAUGCCCCUACUCAGAGCAACAACAAGCUGAGUGUCAAAAUAAGUAUUCAAGAUACAACCACAAAACAACCACCAACUAGAACAACAACAACCACAACGACAACUAAACCACCAAAAAACAAUGACGUGAAAACAGAUACUGACGAUGAGGAUGUUGACGUCAUAUCAGGGGCUGGAUCUGGAUCUGGGAUGGAUGAGGAUGAAAACCAAAAGAAAAACAAUGAAACUGUUUUAACUUUUCUUGUGAGCGGUAUCUUUUGUGAAAAGCGUUUAGACGACGACCAACCAGUAGUAAUUCUUGGCAGAAGGAUUGUGAAACUAUAAACUUGAUUAGUGAAAAGCUAAAUCUUUCUACUAACGUCACCCCACAACAAGCUGUACAUAGGGG
Molecule: long non-coding RNA, 730 nt
Organism: Patella vulgata (common limpet)
Lineage: Eukaryota; Metazoa; Mollusca; Gastropoda; Patellidae
Exons: 3
Source: RefSeq, a predicted model, not a curated record